Molecule: non-coding RNA, 26 nt
Filed under: Mus musculus (house mouse)
Lineage: Eukaryota; Metazoa; Chordata; Mammalia; Rodentia; Muridae
Source: RNAcentral
UAUAUCCCAGCAAAGUCUUUUAAGAG